GGGUUGUGAGGUUAAGCGACUAAGCGUACACGGUGGAUGCCCUGGCAGUCAGAGGCGAUGAAGGACGUGCUAAUCUGCGAAAAGCGUCGGUAAGGUGAUAUGAACCGUUACAGCCGGCGAUGUCCGAAUGGGGAAACCCAGUGUGAUUCGUCACACUAUCGUUAACUGAAUACAUAGGUUAACGAGGCGAACCGGGGGAACUGAAACAUCUAAGUACCCCGAGGAAAAGAAAUCAACCGAGAUUCCCCCAGUAGCGGCGAGCGAACGGGGAGCAGCCCAGAGUCUGAAUCAGCUUGUGUGUUAGUGGAACGGUCUGGAAAGUCCGACGGUACAGGGUGAUAGUCCCGUACACCAAAAUGCACAGGCUGUGAACUCGAAGAGUAGGGCGGGACACGUGGUAUCCUGUCUGAAUAUGGGGGGACCAUCCUCCAAGGCUAAAUACUCCUGACUGACCGAUAGUGAACCAGUACCGUGAGGGAAAGGCGAAAAGAACCCCGGCGAGGGGAGUGAAAAAGAACCUGAAACCGUGUACGUACAAGCAGUGGGAGCACCUUCGGGUGUGACUGCGUACCUUUUGUAUAAUGGGUCAGCGACUUAUAUUCUGUAGCAAGGUUAACCGUAUAGGGGAGCCGCAGGGAAACCGAGUCUUAACUGGGCGUUAAGUUGCAGGGUAUAGACCCGAAACCCGGUGAUCUAGCCAUGGGCAGGUUGAAGGUUGGGUAACACUAACUGGAGGACCGAACCGACUAAUGUUGAAAAAUUAGCGGAUGACUUGUGGCUGGGGGUGAAAGGCCAAUCAAACCGGGAGAUAGCUGGUUCUCCCCGAAAGCUAUUUAGGUAGCGCCUCGUGAAUUCAUCUUCGGGGGUAGAGCACUGUUUCGGCUAGGGGGUCAUCCCGACUUACCAACCCGAUGCAAACUACGAAUACCGAAGAAUGUUAUCACGGGAGACACACGGCGGGUGCUAACGUCCGUCGUGAAGAGGGAAACAACCCAGACCGCCAGCUAAGGUCCCAAAGUCAUGGUUAAGUGGGAAACGAUGUGGGAAGGCACAGACAGCCAGGAUGUUGGCUUAGAAGCAGCCAUCAUUUAAAGAAAGCGUAAUAGCUCACUGGUCGAGUCGGCCUGCGCGGAAGAUGUAACGGGGCUAAACCAUGCACCGAAGCUGCGGCAGCGACACUAUGUGUUGUUGGGUAGGGGAGCGUUCUGUAAGCCUGCGAAGGUGUGCUGUGAGGCAUGCUGGAGGUAUCAGAAGUGCGAAUGCUGACAUAAGUAACGAUAAAGCGGGUGAAAAGCCCGCUCGCCGGAAGACCAAGGGUUCCUGUCCAACGUUAAUCGGGGCAGGGUGAGUCGACCCCUAAGGCGAGGCCGAAAGGCGUAGUCGAUGGGAAACAGGUUAAUAUUCCUGUACUUGGUGUUACUGCGAAGGGGGGACGGAGAAGGCUAUGUUAGCCGGGCGACGGUUGUCCCGGUUUAAGCAUGUAGGCUGGUUGUCCAGGCAAAUCCGGAUAAUCAAGGCUGAGGUGUGAUGACGAGGCACUACGGUGCUGAAGUAACAAAUGCCCUGCUUCCAGGAAAAGCCUCUAAGCAUCAGGUAACAUUAAAUCGUACCCCAAACCGACACAGGUGGUCAGGUAGAGAAUACCAAGGCGCUUGAGAGAACUCGGGUGAAGGAACUAGGCAAAAUGGUGCCGUAACUUCGGGAGAAGGCACGCUGGUGUGUAGGUGAAGUCCCUGCGGAUGGAGCUGAGACCAGUCGAAGAUACCAGCUGGCUGCAACUGUUUAUUAAAAACACAGCACUGUGCAAACACGAAAGUGGACGUAUACGGUGUGACGCCUGCCCGGUGCCGGAAGGUUAAUUGAUGGGGUUAUCCGUAAGGAGAAGCUCUUGAUCGAAGCCCCGGUAAACGGCGGCCGUAACUAUAACGGUCCUAAGGUAGCGAAAUUCCUUGUCGGGUAAGUUCCGACCUGCACGAAUGGCGUAAUGAUGGCCAGGCUGUCUCCACCCGAGACUCAGUGAAAUUGAACUCGCUGUGAAGAUGCAGUGUACCCGCGGCAAGACGGAAAGACCCCGUGAACCUUUACUAUAGCUUGACACUGAACAUUGAGCCUUGAUGUGUAGGAUAGGUGGGAGGCUUUGAAGCGUGGACGCCAGUCUGCGUGGAGCCAACCUUGAAAUACCACCCUUUAAUGUUUGAUGUUCUAACGUUGGCCCCUUACCGGGGUUGCGGACAGUGUCUGGUGGGUAGUUUGACUGGGGCGGUCUCCUCCCAAAGCGUAACGGAGGAGCACGAAGGUUAGCUAAUCCUGGUCGGACAUCAGGAGGUUAGUGCAAUGGCAUAAGCUAGCUUGACUGCGAGCGUGACGGCGCGAGCAGGUGCGAAAGCAGGUCAUAGUGAUCCGGUGGUUCUGAAUGGAAGGGCCAUCGCUCAACGGAUAAAAGGUACUCCGGGGAUAACAGGCUGAUACCGCCCAAGAGUUCAUAUCGACGGCGGUGUUUGGCACCUCGAUGUCGGCUCAUCACAUCCUGGGGCUGAAGUAGGUCCCAAGGGUAUGGCUGUUCGCCAUUUAAAGUGGUACGCGAGCUGGGUUUAGAACGUCGUGAGACAGUUCGGUCCCUAUCUGCCGUGGGCGCUGGAGAAUUGAGGGGGGCUGCUCCUAGUACGAGAGGACCGGAGUGGACGCAUCACUGGUGUUCGGGUUGUCAUGCCAAUGGCACUGCCCGGUAGCUAAAUGCGGAAGAGAUAAGUGCUGAAAGCAUCUAAGCACGAAACUUGCCCCGAGAUGAGUUCUCCCUGAGACUUUAAGUCUCCUGAAGGAACGUUAAAGACGAUGACGUUGAUAGGCCGGGUGUGUAAGCGCAGCGAUGCGUUGAGCUAACCGGUACUAAUGAACCGUGAGGCUUAACCUUACAACGCCGAAG
RNAcentral lists this ribosomal RNA (2923 nucleotides) under Klebsiella pneumoniae. Its description in RNAcentral is "23S ribosomal RNA". It matches the Rfam family "Bacterial large subunit ribosomal RNA". Lineage: Bacteria; Pseudomonadati; Pseudomonadota; Gammaproteobacteria; Enterobacterales; Enterobacteriaceae. The record is from RNAcentral.